This is an RNA transcript of Quercus lobata, 1228 nucleotides long. It is a transcript of the gene named N-terminal kinase-like protein, with no coding region annotated. The transcript has 5 exons. Lineage: Eukaryota; Viridiplantae; Streptophyta; Magnoliopsida; Fagales; Fagaceae. The record is from RefSeq and is a predicted model, not a curated record.
UACUGAGUUGAUGGUGAAGCUCAGAGAGUUCUGUGGCUCAUCGGUGAAUCUUCGGUGUCAAUUGUUGACAGGCGACUUGAAGACCUAAUUUUGAUCACGUCCGACGAUAGGUUGAGGCGCAAUGGUCGGCGAUCCUAUCUCUGACGACGACCUGCUGUCGAUAGUCAGAGCUUUCUUCUCCGCCCUUUUGUCCGAUUACAGGGUUUGGAUACUUUGGAAAUGGAAUUACAUACCAGUCCUUUGGAAUCUGAAGUAUGAUUUGAACAUAUUAUAUUGAAGAAAUUCUUAAAAAGGAGUUGGUAAGUGUUAAUGGUGUAGUAUUUCACUAAUAUCAAUUUAAGUAUGGGUUGGAUCUAUGAGGUUUUUUUGUGUUGCUGUGUUUGUUAAUUUUAGGUUUCUUGUGGAAACGAGCAUUGGUUUAUCAAUAGUAUCAAUUUAAUUUUUACUUGGUUUGGGUCAUUGCAAUUCAAUGCUCUGUUCAGCUUCUUUACAUUGCAGAGAUUUUUUUACACUCAUUUUGUUUAUAAAACUUACUAGAGCUUAUGAAGUUUAUAAAUUCAUUUUCAAGUUAUGUAGCUUGGAAUUGGCAAUCUAUUUUUCCCUUAUAUUUGUUAUUGUUCUGUUCCAAUGAAUACAGAGCCUACGUUCUUUUUUCUUUUUGAUAAGAUGUUUAUGUCUGACCUGAAAGUAUUAACUCAUUGGCAUACCUAUUUUAAUGACUCUUGGGCUUCUGUCUUUUUCUUGGUGGGGCCCCAUACAGUUUAAUUGAUGAAGAGCCAGCAAUCAGAACAAAUACUACCAUUUUACUUGGGAAUAUUGCAAGUCACCUAAAUGAAGGGACAAGGAAGAGAGUUUUGAUUAAUGCAUUUACUGUUCGUGCAUUGUGUGAUACUUUCUCGCCUGCCCGAGGAGCAAGGAUCAUGGCUCUAUGUGCCACCAGUGCUUAUUAUGACGUCACUGAGAUUGCAACUCGGAUUCUACCGAAUGUCGUUUUACUUACCAUUGAUCCUGACAGUGGCCUGUCAAUCCUAAGAAAUGUUACGCGGUGAUUGGCAAUAUUUCAUUUCCUGUAUGCAGGCUCUCGCUUGAUGAACGGUUCAUGAACUUAUUCUUCUGUCUCUCAAGAUUUUGCUUUUUAGGGUGGUUGUUCCUAGGCCGGGUUUAAGCCCCGAUAGAGAGUUUGAUUAAACUAGUGGCCCUGUAAAGUUUGUUCUUACAUAUGAAUAAU